RNAcentral lists this ribosomal RNA (368 nucleotides) under uncultured organism. RNAcentral describes it as "bacterial SSU rRNA". It matches the Rfam family "Bacterial small subunit ribosomal RNA", at positions 526 to 896 of the family's 1533-position model. The record is from RNAcentral.
CGGAGGGUGCAAGCGUUAUCCGGAUUCACUGGGUUUAAAGGGUGCGUAGGUGGGUUGGUAAGUCAGUGGUGAAAUCUCCAGGCUUAACUUGGAAACUGCCAUUGAUACUAUCAGUCUUGAAUACCGUGGAGAUGAGCGGAAUAUGUCAUGUAGCGGUGAAAUGCUUAGAUAUGACAUAGAACACCAAUUGCGAAGGCAGCUCGUUACACGAAUAUUGACACUGAUGCACGAAAGCGUGGGGAUCGAACAGGAUUAGAUACCCUGGUAGUCCACGCCCUAAACGAUGGAUACUCGACAUUUGCGAUAAACUGCAAGUGUCUGAGCGAAAGCAUUAAGUAUCCCACCUGGGAAGUACGACCGCAAGGUUG